GUACCUCAAGUGUGUCGCCAAUGUUAACGAUGAAUGCACCAUUCGGAGCGUCUACGGAUAACCACUUGCCAUCUUUCUUGAUCUGCAGGCCCUGCACGUCGUUAACCUGGAGCAGCAGUGUUAGGCCAACCACAUCAGAGUGCGGCGAAAUGCCCAUCACCUUGUCAGAUUGCAGGCACGGUGGGUAGUAGGUCAUCCUUAAGCCUCGAGGCUGCUCUUCAAAUAUGCCUAAAAGAGCCUCUGGCUUAGCGCCCACAGCCUUAGCCAUGAACUCAAACAAGCAGAACAGAUGCCUAUCAAAAGCUAAAUUACACAUUUUAUUUGGGUAGAUCACCUGAAAGAUGCAGGGGAAGUCGGCCAGAACCUCAAGUCCCUUGAAUCGCUAGGAUGGACUUGAAGAUACAGCAUGUCUGCCCAGUCAAGUUUCUGGUCCUCGGAGAAAACGAGGGCCUGUCCAUAGCCUUCGAGGCUGUUGGGUAGCUGUGUGUACUCCUUCUUGGCGUCCAGUGGCUGGCUGAAGAAAUCAACAAUGUCUCUCUUGAGGUUUGCAAUCACUUCAUCUGGCACUCCAUGGUUGAUGAGCUGUAGUUUAUUCCAUAAGUAAUGCUUCAAAUAUAUUAGUUGUACAGCUCAAACUGAGCUAGAUCUACUUACAAACCUAAAGUUACAUACCUGAAAGAACCCCCAAUACUGGCAGGCAGAUCUCAGCUUCACACAUUCUUCUGAUGAUUGCGGAGAAAGCAACUUAUUGAGAUCGAUGAUCGGAAUCGCCUCACCAUGGUAGUUGCUGAUGACCUCCUCAGAACUAGCCUCUGGCCUGAUGUAUCUUUCAGGUAUGUGUUCAUCUGGACCAUUGCAAGUUUUUGCAAGCUCCUGCACAUUAGGCACUGGGAGAGAACCAAUGGCUCUUGCUCCCGCCAUUGAAAUU
Molecule: small RNA, 928 nt
Filed under: Oryza sativa Japonica Group (Japanese rice)
Lineage: Eukaryota; Viridiplantae; Streptophyta; Magnoliopsida; Poales; Poaceae
Description: sRNA Os10g0558801
Source: RNAcentral